This is a long non-coding RNA of Bombyx mori (domestic silkworm), 278 nucleotides long. RefSeq lists it as uncharacterized. Lineage: Eukaryota; Metazoa; Arthropoda; Insecta; Lepidoptera; Bombycidae. The transcript is spliced from 2 exons. The record is from RefSeq and is a predicted model, not a curated record.
AUAUAUUUAAUGCACUCUAUACGUUCACCUUGAAGUUUGGCCAUUUCCGUUUUCGGACGGCAAUAAAAUUACCGAGAGCAAGUUCACGAGAAGUUCACCCGGUAGGGAUGUGGUAUCGGCUAAAAACGUUGCAGAUAUAGCACGCAGUAAGUCAGUAAUCGGAACUAUUCGAAGCGAACGGAUCACCUGAAGCGAAGCGAAAGAAGCGAAUUGAGAGUUUUAAAGUGUUUGUUGAGUGUUUUAAGUGUUCUAAGUGUUGAAUACAGCUUUUAGUUUUA